AACCAGACUCCUACGGGAGGCAGCAGUGGGGAAUAUUGCACAAUGGGGGGAACCCUGAUGCAGCGACGCCGCGUGAGUGAAGAAGUCUUUCGGUAUGUAAAGCUCUAUCAGCAGGGAAGAAAAUGACGGUACCUGACUAAGAAGCCCCGGCUAACUACGUGCCAGCAGCUGCGGUAAUACGUAGGGGGCAAGCGUUAUCCGGACUUACUGGGUGUAAAGGGAGCGUAGACGGCAGAGCAAGUCUGAAGUGAAAGCCCGCGGCCCAACUGCGGGACUGCUUUGGAAACUGCCCGGCUAGAGUGCUGGAGGGGCAGGCGGAAUUCCUGGUGUAGCGGUGAAAUGCGUAGAUAUCAGGAGGAACACCGGCGGCGAAGGCGGCCUGCUGGACCGCGACUGACGUUGAGGCUCGAAAGCGUGGGGAGCGAACAGGAUUAGAUACCCUGGUAC
Molecule: ribosomal RNA, 447 nt
Filed under: uncultured bacterium
Lineage: Bacteria
Description: bacterial SSU rRNA
Rfam family: Bacterial small subunit ribosomal RNA
Source: RNAcentral